RNAcentral lists this ribosomal RNA (253 nucleotides) under uncultured bacterium. RNAcentral describes it as "partial 16S ribosomal RNA". It matches the Rfam family "Bacterial small subunit ribosomal RNA", at positions 524 to 776 of the family's 1533-position model. The record is from RNAcentral.
UACGUAGGGUGCAAGCGUUAAUCGGAAUUACUGGGCGUAAAGCGUGCGCAGGCGGUUUCGUAAGACAGAUGUGAAAUCCCCGGGCUUAACCUGGGAACUGCAUUUGUGACUGCGAGGCUAGAGUGUGUCAGAGGGGGGUGGAAUUCCACGUGUAGCAGUGAAAUGCGUAGAUAUGUGGAGGAACACCGAUGGCGAAGGCAGCCCCCUGGGAUAACACUGACGCUCAUGCACGAAAGCGUGGGGAGCAAACAGG